GGAUGUGAGGGUGAUCUGACUAUGACAGCUGUCAUCCAUUGAUCACCAGGGUUGAUGCAACUAAUCUGGUUGUCUAGAUGGGUGUCCUUCCUACCUUACUGCUCCAUGUGAAUCUUUCCUGCAAUUGCUAGGAGAGGAUGGCUAUCCCUGAUAAAAGGAUUGUACCUUUCUUUGGUCAGUGGUAUAUAAUAGAUGUGUUCCAAUGCUAGAACCUCUCCAAAGCAAUUCCUCCCCAAAGUUGGUGUCCUCCAGUGACUUCAACUAAGUUGUUUCCAAUACUAGUAAACUGGGAGGAGUAAAAGUCCUCAAGACCACAGCAAAGUUGGAAAGAAUUAAAUUC
Molecule: small nuclear RNA, 340 nt
Filed under: Anolis carolinensis (green anole)
Lineage: Eukaryota; Metazoa; Chordata; Lepidosauria; Squamata; Anolidae
Description: 7SK RNA
Rfam family: 7SK RNA (bases 1-263)
About the family: 7SK was discovered as an abundant small nuclear RNA in the mid-70s but a possible function has only recently been suggested. Two independent studies have found that 7SK RNA binds the CDK9/cyclin T complex (known as elongation factor P-TEFb).
Source: Rfam by way of RNAcentral